Molecule: ribosomal RNA, 814 nt
Filed under: uncultured bacterium
Lineage: Bacteria
Description: bacterial SSU rRNA
Rfam family: Bacterial small subunit ribosomal RNA
Source: RNAcentral
AGAGUUUGAUCCUGGCUCAGAACGAACGCUGGCGGCGUGCCUAACACAUGCAAGUCGCACGAGAAAUCCUGGGCAACUGGGAAAGUAAAGUGGCGCACGGGUGAGUAACGCGUGGGUAACCUGCCCUUAAAUUGGGGAUAACACCGCGAAAGCGGUGCUAAUACCGAAUGAUAUUUUGAUUCCCUUGGGGAUUGAAAUCAAAGAUGGCCUCUGCAUGCAAGCUAUUGUUUAAGGAUGGRCCCGCGUACCAUUAGCUUGUUGGUGGGGUAAUGGCCUACCAAGGCAACGAUGGUUAGCUGGUCUAAGAGGAUGGUCAGCCACACUGGAACUGAGACACGGUCCAGACUCCUACGGGAGGCAGCAGUGGGGAAUCUUGCGCAAUGGGGGAAACCCUGACGCAGCAACGCCGCGUGGGUGAUGAAGGCCUUCGGGUCGUAAAGCCCUGUCAGGUGGGAAGAAACWUGUGRAUGUWAAYAMCAUYSRCAYUUGACGGUACCACCGGAGGAAGCACCGGCUAACUCCGUGCCAGCAGCCGCGGUAAUACGGAGGGUGCAAGCGUUGUUCGGAAUUACUGGGCGUAAAGCGCGUGUAGGCGGUCGGGCAAGUCAGAUGUGAAAGCCUUCCGCUCAACGGAAGAAGUGCAUUUGAAACUACCCGGCUAGAGUACGGGAGAGGAGAGUGGAAUUCCCGGUGUAGAGGUGAAAUUCGUAGAUAUCGGGAGGAACACCAGUGGCGAAGGCGGCUCUCUGGUCCGAUACUGACGCUGAGACGCGAAAGCGUGGGGAGCAAACAGGAUUAGAUACCCUGGUAGUCC